This 403-nucleotide ribosomal RNA is filed under the name Verrucomicrobiota bacterium. RNAcentral describes it as "Verrucomicrobia bacterium partial 16S ribosomal RNA". It matches the Rfam family "Bacterial small subunit ribosomal RNA", at positions 355 to 776 of the family's 1533-position model. The record is from RNAcentral. Lineage: Bacteria; Pseudomonadati; Verrucomicrobiota.
UGGGGAAUAUUGGACAAUGGGCGCAAGCCUGAUCCAGCCAUGCCGCGUGAGUGAUGAAGGCCCUAGGGUUGUAAAGCUCUUUCACCGGUGAAGAUAAUGACGGUAUCAUAGGAGGAAGCCCUGGCUAAAUACGUGCCAGCAGCCGCGGUAAUACGUAUGGGGCGAGCGUUGUCCGGAAUUAUUGGGCGUAAAGGGUACGUAGGCGGUUUUUUAAGUCAGGUGUCAAAGCGUGGAGCUUAACUCCAUUAAGCACUUGAAACUGAAAGACUUGAGUGAAGGAGAGGAAAGUGGAAUUCCUAGUGUAGCGGUGAAAUGCGUAGAUAUUAGGAGGAAUACCGGUGGCGAAGGCGACUUUCUGGACUUUUACUGACGCUCAGGUACGAAAGCGUGGGGAGCAAACAGG